GCGGGUGUAGUUCAAUGGUAGAACUUCAGCCUUCCAAGCUGAUAGCGUGGGUUCGAUUCCCAUCACCCGCU
Molecule: transfer RNA, 71 nt
Organism: Legionella feeleii
Lineage: Bacteria; Pseudomonadati; Pseudomonadota; Gammaproteobacteria; Legionellales; Legionellaceae
Rfam family: tRNA
About the family: Transfer RNA (tRNA) molecules are approximately 80 nucleotides in length. Their secondary structure includes four short double-helical elements and three loops (D, anti-codon, and T loops). Further hydrogen bonds mediate the characteristic L-shaped molecular structure. tRNAs have two regions of fundamental functional importance: the anti-codon, which is responsible for specific mRNA codon recognition, and the 3' end, to which the tRNAs corresponding amino acid is attached (by aminoacyl-tRNA synthetases). tRNAs cope with the degeneracy of the genetic code in two manners: having more than one tRNA (with a specific anti-codon) for a particular amino acid; and 'wobble' base-pairing, i.e. permitting non-standard base-pairing at the 3rd anti-codon position.
Source: Rfam